This 138-nucleotide ribosomal RNA is filed under the name uncultured eukaryote. Its description in RNAcentral is "partial 18S ribosomal RNA". It matches the Rfam family "Eukaryotic small subunit ribosomal RNA", at positions 1299 to 1458 of the family's 1831-position model. The record is from RNAcentral.
UGGUGGAGUGAUUUGUCUGGUUAAUUCCGUUAACGAACGAGACCUUAACUUACUAAAUAGAUACGCUGUUCUCGAACGGCGGCAAUCUUCUUAGAGGGACUAUUGGUGUUUAACCAAUGGAAGUUUGAGGCAAUAACA